AUCCAGUGACGAGUCCCAAAUAGGACGAAAUGUGCAUCCUGGCUGGAC
Molecule: non-coding RNA, 48 nt
Organism: Trichobilharzia regenti
Lineage: Eukaryota; Metazoa; Platyhelminthes; Trematoda; Strigeidida; Schistosomatidae
Source: Rfam